GCGCUCUCUUCCACCCAGCAAACAGCGACAGUAGGGACUUCCACAGCACUUCCCCGCCACCCGUUUCAAAAGUAACGACGCAGCAGGCCGUCGGGCCCUUUGCGCAGGCGCGAUGAACCUCUAGGUCCCGCCCCACGGAGCCGGGACUGGCCAGUCCUCUCUGUGCUCGCCUGAGCUGUUUUCUCGCGCAGGCGCAGUGGGUAGGCGUGGUCACGCAUUUCCGGGUACUCACGCUCUGGAGCGUCCCAGUCUGGCUCCUCUAGUGGAAAAUUUCAUGGAAGAACCCAAGACAUUUUCAAAUUGGAGAACCGAUUGGAUGGAUGAGGGGCUGAUUCAACCAUAUUUCCAAAAAGAGACCAAUGAUUGA
RNAcentral lists this long non-coding RNA (367 nucleotides) under Suricata suricatta (meerkat). RNAcentral's name for it is "lncRNA (ENSSSUG00005001052.1)". The record is from RNAcentral. Lineage: Eukaryota; Metazoa; Chordata; Mammalia; Carnivora; Herpestidae.